GACAGAGGUGCCGAGCGUUAGGCGGAAUCACUGGGCUUAAAGCGUGUGUAGGCGGGCGGGCAAGUACCUUGUGAAAUCCCACGGCUCAACCGUGGAACGGCUGGGUAUACUGCCUGUCUUGAGCCAACUAGGGGCGAGCGGAACAGACGGUGGAGCGGUGAAAUGCGUAGAGAUGUGGAGGAACACCAGUGGCGAAGGCGGCUUUUUGGUCUGUAACUGACGCUGAGGCGCGAAAGCGUGGGGAGCAAACAGG
RNAcentral lists this ribosomal RNA (253 nucleotides) under uncultured bacterium. RNAcentral describes it as "partial 16S ribosomal RNA". It matches the Rfam family "Bacterial small subunit ribosomal RNA", at positions 524 to 776 of the family's 1533-position model. The record is from RNAcentral.